This 300-nucleotide ribosomal RNA is filed under the name uncultured Steroidobacter sp. Its description in RNAcentral is "bacterial SSU rRNA". It matches the Rfam family "Bacterial small subunit ribosomal RNA", at positions 496 to 795 of the family's 1533-position model. Lineage: Bacteria; Pseudomonadati; Pseudomonadota; Gammaproteobacteria; Steroidobacterales; Steroidobacteraceae. The record is from RNAcentral.
GCUAACUCUGUGCCAGCAGCCGCGGUAAUACAGAGGGUGCGAGCGUUAAUCGGAAUUACUGGGCGUAAAGCGCACGUAGGCGGCUUGGUAUGUCGGGUGUGAAAUCCCCGGGCUCAACCUGGGAACUGCAUCCGAAACUGCCUUGCUCGAGUAUGGGAGAGGGAAGUGGAAUUUCCGGUGUAGCGGUGAAAUGCGUAGAUAUCGGAAGGAACAUCAGUGGCGAAGGCGACUUCCUGGACCAAUACUGACGCUCAGGUGCGAAAGCGUGGGGAGCAAACAGGAUUAGAUACCCUGGUAGUC